AGUGAACGCUGGCGGUAGGCCUAACACAUGCAAGUCGUACGGCAGCACAGUAAGAGCUUGCUCUUACGGGUGGCGAGUGGCGGACGGGUGAGGAAUACAUCGGAAUCUACUUUUUCGUGGGGGAUAACGUAGGGAAACUUACGCUAAUACCGCAUACGACCUACGGGUGAAAGCAGGGGAUCUUCGGACCUCGCGCGAUUGAAUGAGCCGAUGUCGGAUUAGCUAGUUGGCGGGGUAAAGGCCCACCAAGGCGACGAUCCGUAGCUGGUCUGAGAGGAUGAUCAGCCACACUGGAACUGAGACACGGUCCAGACUCCUACGGGAGGCAGCAGUGGGGAAUAUUGGACAAUGGGCGCAAGCCUGAUCCAGCCAUGCCGCGUGUGUGAAGAAGGCCUUCGGGUUGUAAAGCCCUUUUGUUGGGAAAGAAAAGCAGCAGGUUAAUACCCCGCUGUUCUGACGGUACCCAAAGAAUAAGCACCGGCUAACUUCGUG
RNAcentral lists this ribosomal RNA (492 nucleotides) under uncultured bacterium. RNAcentral's name for it is "partial 16S ribosomal RNA". It matches the Rfam family "Bacterial small subunit ribosomal RNA", at positions 29 to 507 of the family's 1533-position model. The record is from RNAcentral.